AAUUUUUCUCGUUCUAACAUUUCCUUCCAGGUUGCAAGCCUUUCCCGCCAAUUACCUACACUGUCUCCAAUUUCACCUAUCAUAGAAGAAUGCAAU
Molecule: small nuclear RNA, 96 nt
Organism: Arabidopsis thaliana (thale cress)
Lineage: Eukaryota; Viridiplantae; Streptophyta; Magnoliopsida; Brassicales; Brassicaceae
Source: RefSeq